This is a long non-coding RNA of Equus caballus (horse), 4296 nucleotides long. The record is from Ensembl. NCBI's taxonomy places the organism in Eukaryota, Metazoa, Chordata, Mammalia, Perissodactyla, Equidae.
GUUACUUUCAAAAACAAGAAAACAGAAAAGACCUUGAGAACUUUUUUGCCCCAAUUCCAAGUGACAAAAUGAAAGUCAAUUUAAAAUGAGAUGAGAUAGUUUUUUAAAAGGACUGUGGGCAAUUUUAGGAAUGUUAAAAAUGUAGCCAGUGUGCUAGAAUACCCCUUCAAGGUAUUUUUAAAGGGUGAUUUGCAGAAUUAAACCCAUUACCCAACAACAAUGGAAAUCUUUCUUAAUUUCCUAGACCAAACAAUUUUUUGUUUCCUUUCUGUCUUUUGCAGGUUGAACCCUUAAAGGAACACUCAGAAGUAUAAUAAGCUGGAGUUGCAUAAAUGAGUUCUCUGAUUAUGGUAAAGAUUCUGAAAAGGUGUGAAGCUGAAAGCCGCAGGCGAGACUCUACCUAGGAAAACGUCGGGCGACUUCGAGUAGGGUACAGCGCAGGACGAAGUGUGUGUCCAACGUGGACUAAAAUGUGGGAAGAGAUUCCUUUAUUAAAAAGCAGUCUACCUUCCUGGAAACAAUCCAUCACACUCCCUACGGAAGAGGAUCACACGCCCUGCGACUUCUCAACCUCUACGUGCUGAGAGACAGUCCAGGUUAAGGAACCUCUCAGGACUGCAGUCUGAAUGAGCAGAACCGAUGGCAAACGUUUCCAGCAUUCAGUGUUCAUCUAGCUCUCAAUGCAGGGAAUCUAAGCAUGUUACAUCAAGACAUAGAUAUGCAAAUUGAAGAGUAAUAUGAAUUGUUUAUAUUACAAAAUGUUCUUCAGCUGCCAUGCGCAAGUGCUACAGACCCUGCGCUCUUUGUAAGCCCCUCUGGAAUAAUGAAUGGGGACAACGAGAAACAAGCAGAGGGAUGCUCCGGUAUUGCCGGGGAGACUGGCUGCUAAGGGAAAGAAGGCUUUGAUGCUGAAUUCAGUUGUCUUUUCUCCUUCCUAAGUGCUUCCCCUGCUCGCAUCCUCCCUGCACCGUGGAGCAGCGUCUGUCUGAUGUUGGCAGCAGCACAAGGACAAAUCAAGACACUCAGAAGCAAAUGCUUUUGUUUUGCAGACAUAGGACCAGAGAUGCGGGGAAGUGUUACCCUGGGGCCUGAACAGCAUCAGGCGUGACAGCAGAUGUUUAGUGCCAUGGGUUGCACGGUGCUGCUGUUGAGUACCAGAUACUGAGGCGAUCUGCCUGAGACUUUUAAUAAAUAGUGUGUGUGUGCUGUCUAUUCAGAACCACUAAAGGGAGGAGUCCAGGGCAAGGGUCCCUCUUGCCCAAAUCUAAAGGCUCCAUUAGACAACCAACCAAGCACUCAAGCAGGAAGAUGAAGACUGCUGGCACCACAUGGCAGAUCAGAGACACGACAGGGAGCGGCAGAGAGGUGGUGACCUGGGGAGCCCACGCCUGUCUGAAGAGAACUGUCUAUAUUCUGCCCUUACCCAUAUACUGACUUGUAGGAAAGUCGAAGUCACGUUGCUGGACUGUCUGAUUUCUCAGGAGAAUGCCACAUUUCGGGUUUUUAUGUGAAAAAAAUUGAUAUCGACAAAUAAUCCAAAUUAAUAAACUUAAAAAGUACAUUUGAGGGGAUCACAUCUUUAGGCUAGAUUUGUUCCCAAAGCCACCACGAACACUUUUCUGGUCUACUGCAUUUUACUACUUUGUGCUUACUUUUGAAGCAUUUAUGAUCGCUAAUUCCUCAUUUUGGAUAAAUACUAAAGCAAUGACAGGGUGAGAAUCAUGGAAGAAGAAGAGGCAUAUGAUUAGGUUAGAAAAGAAAGUGCAGGUUAGGUUUACACCGAUGUGUACGCAAGGGUUACACAUAUUCUGUCACUUUGUCUUUGCAGGAUGUAGACUCAGCGACAUCCUGUUUGUAAGCAGAGAAGCCUCCACACGUGGACAUGCGAGGCUGUCUUUGGCUCUGCUGCUCAGUUCAGAUAAUUUUCGAGAGAUCUCCAUUGUACUUCAACUUAUUUUUCAGUAAUAGGAGAGUGAGUGGUGAAAAAUGUGAGAUUAGAUUGUGAAAGAAUGAAGUUAGAGAUCCCAGGGGAGUAUCUCUAGAGAUGUGAAGAUUCGGGACGUGGGGUUACCUCCUGUGCUUCUCAAAGGGCAAGCAGAAGAUAUCUGGCACGGGAAUGGGGAGGGAGCAAGAACAGGGGAGGAUAGCAAGUAUGUUUCAGGCAUUUCGGAGCCCAAGCAAGAUGCCCAGUGGAGUGGUUAAGAGGUCAGACCGUCCCAAGUUCAAGACCCAGGACUAAAUUUACAAGCUGCAAAAAGUUGCUUUUCCCUCUGAGCUUGUUUCAUCAUUUGUUAAGAAGGUGAUAAUGAUGAUUUACCUCAAAGGGCUGCUGUGAGCAGUAAAUGAGCUAAUCAAAGCCAAGGUCUAGUACACAUUCCUCAGGAAGUACUCAAUAAAUGCCGGUGAUUAUUAGUAGGACAAUGAUUGGGAUUAGUGGGGCGAAUUCGGGAAUCAUCUGCAGAAAGGUGGACAGUUGAAAUCUGAAGAGAGCACCUUGGAAGGGGGGCAUAUAUAUUGGGGAGCACAUCUAUUUGAGGGAGUAAGGAAAAAAAAUGGAAGCCUGAAAGGGGUCAGAGAAGGAACAGUCAGGUAGGAGAAAUGCCAAGACAGGGUUUAGGGAAGGCCCCUGUAUGAAAAUAAAAUAGAGACUUUAUUUUCAGAAUAGUGCUGAGCAUGAAAAUGAUUUAGAAUGGUGCCUUAUAAACUUUAGAGUACCAAAGAAUCACCUGGGAGAGUGUAAAUGUUUAAAAUGUAGAUUCCCAGAAAGCCUGACUCAGUAGGUCUGGGCUCAGGCCCAGGAAUCUAUAUGGAUUCCAACUGCAGAUAGACAACAAACCACACUUGGAAGAACACUGUGUUAAGACUGAGCGUGCAGCCAGGGAGAGGAGACAGAGUGGCUACCAUCCUUUCAAGGUAGUUGGUUAGGGCAUACAUGUGUCUUAGCCUCCACUACCCAUGCAUUAAAGAAAGUCUUUCCAGAGAAAAGCCUUUGAGAGAACACAGGUUGCUUUCAAUAGGUUGCUUGGUGAGUAAAGGGAGGGGUGGUGGUUGGUGGUGUUUAUUUCUCCUGCAUAUAUAUAAUGGCCAAGGGGUCUUAACCAUCUGUGGCCCUGGGUUUGGAAGGGUGAAUUAAAUUGGUUGAUUUUCAAGUAUCAAACCAACCUUGCAUUCCUGGAAUAAUCCAACUCGGUCAUGAUGGAUGGUGGGAAAGAGACACAUUGCUCAGACCUCAAUCUCAGGCUCUGGGCUCCCUUUCCUCUCUCUAGCCUUCUAGCAGACACGACCUAUCCAAACAACACAACAGCUCCCUGAGACUUGGAAAUAAACACCAGGUCUUCUAGAACAGUGAACUUCAAAAUACUUUUUACUUAUACCCUCUAAGAUAUUUUUUAAAAAGUAUAUAUACUCCCUUACAUGUUUUAAAGUUGAUAUCUCAAAUGUUUCACAUAUUAACUGCUUAAAAGGAUUCUGGGGCAUUGUAAUUAUUUGUUAUAUCAUUUAAAAAAUAUAUUCAAUAGGGCAGCCUGGUGGCAUAGCGGUUAAGUGUGCACGUUCCACUACGGCAGCCCGGGGUUCACCAGUUUGGAUCCUGGUGUCAGACACGGCACCACUUGGCACACCCUGCUGUGGCAGGUGUCCCACAUAUAAAGUAGAGGAAGAUGGGCAUGGAUGUUAGCUCAGGGCCAGUCUUCCUCAGCAAAAAGAGGAGGAUUGGCAGCAGUUAGCUCAGGGCUAAUCUUCCUCAAAAAAAAAAAAAAAUUUCAAAGUAAUCCAAAUAUCAUGCAUCCUUGAUCUCUACCAUCAUCUAUUUAAAUAAUACAUGAACAAGCUGUUCUUUAAAAGUUGAAAUUUUACAUCAUUAUUUAAGGAGUUUUCCGCUUUAAAUUUGUACUUCCAUUCCACUUCCCCAUUAAAUUUUCUAUUAAUGUAAUAAUUUUUUGGCUUAGAAGUCUUGUAUUGAUCACCCUAUUAAACCUCUUGGCAGAAACAUUUAUAUAUAUUUAAUAAAAAACCUUUUUAACUUCCUUUGAUCAGAAUUGAGUUACUACUAUAAUGAUUAUUUUUAUGUAAUUGAUGAAAACAAGGUGAAUGUAUUACAAAAUCAGAACUAACAGAAGGUUGAUAAUUGUUGAAGCUGGGUCAUGGGUGCAGAAAGGAUCAUGACGAUUCUCACUCCACUCUAUGUUUGAAAUUUUCCAUUAAAAAAAAGUUUAGAAACCUCUUGAAGAAAUAAAUGUGCUAUAAAUUCUGGUUAAAAAUUCCUAAACAAAAAAACAUAAAAUUUUUAUUGGUCAG